This is a long non-coding RNA of Vicia villosa (hairy vetch), 1091 nucleotides long. RefSeq lists it as uncharacterized. Lineage: Eukaryota; Viridiplantae; Streptophyta; Magnoliopsida; Fabales; Fabaceae. The transcript has 4 exons. The record is from RefSeq and is a predicted model, not a curated record.
UUCCCUUUUUUUCUGAAAAAAAACUCUCUUCAUCUUUCUCACGAUGAGCAACAACAAUGGCAGCCCCUUCCCCUCUCGGUUUCACUCUCUUCGCUUUUGAACAACAACAAAACCUCUCUCUCGGUUUGCUCUCAAACUCGCGGUUCUCACUCGGUUUAAACGGCAAGAAGCUCAUGGUUCUCUUGCUCAGUGAGUGACAGUGAUUUGGUUUUCCUCUCUUGAUCGCUCUCUAUCUCUCACUCGCGGCCAUGGAAGAAGCUUGAAGAACCCAGGUAUGUUUCUUUCCAAAUUUCGUUUUUUUUUGUUUUCUUCUUAAUGAUAACUCAGUAAUUGAUCAUUCAUCUUUCUCGGUUGCUCACUGUGAACAAACAACAACAACACCCUCUCGAUAUCACUCUCGGCUUUCUCUGAGUUAUGAACAACCUCAACAAACAGAAUUUUCAAAUUAUUAGUAAUAUUGAGAGUGAAGGUGGAGAUGACUUACCUGCGGCUAAAAGAUCUUUUGCCUUAUUCGUCGAGUUAUGCACAAGAAUAACAUAUUUGUAGUAAUGAUUAAACAAUAAUAUUGAGCAUGAGGAUGAAUACAACUUACCUACGGCGAGGAGGUGUUCGCCGGUUUAUUGUUGAGGCUUUUGAUGAAGGUGAUGCCAUAACACCUCUUUGGAUAUUAGGGAGACUUGAAGAUGAUCUUCAAGUGGAAACCUUCCACCAAGGUAUGAACUAUUUCUUCACCCUUUUUCAAACUAUGGAACUUUGAAAAUUAUGAAAAGAGAGAAGUGAGAAAGCUAGUAGUAUAGUAGCUUUGGUGUGAUUUGCAAUGAAGUGAGGCCUUCUAUUUAUAGGAAAAGUUAAGGGUGUGUUUGGCAAUUGGUAAUCUUGAUUGGCAAGUUUCAAUCAUUGCAAGAUAAGAAAAAGAAUAUAUUCUUCAUCAUUGCAAGAAUAAAAAAUAAGAAUAAGAAUAUUCUUAUGCAAAGAUAUUUUUCAUGAUAUAAGCCAUGUGUGUAAAUUUUUAUGUCAUUUUAUGAUAUCUCUAAGUUGCAUAAUUUUAUGACAUAAAAAUCUCUCUUUGGCUUUUUUUGACUUUUGCUAAU